UAAGGAAUAUUGGUCAAUGGACGCAAGUCUGAACCAGCCAUGCCGCGUGAAGGAUGAAGGUCCUCUGGAUUGUAAACUUCUUUUAUAUGGGAAGAAAUUCUCGCAUUCUUGCGGGAUUGACGGUACCAUAGGAAUAAGCACCGGCUAACUCCGUGCCAGCAGCCGCGGUAAUACGGAGGGUGCAAGCGUUAUCCGGAUUCACUGGGUUUAAAGGGUGCGUAGGAGGGCAGGUAAGUCAGUGGUGAAAUCUCCAAGCUUAACUUGGAAACUGCCGUUGAUACUAUCUGUCUUGAAUACCGUGGAGGUGAGCGGAAUAUGUCAUGUAGCGGUGAAAUGCUUAGAUAUGACAUAGAACACCAAUUGCGAAGGCAGCUCGCUACACGAAUAUUGACUCUGAGGCACGAAAGCGUGGGGAUCAAACA
RNAcentral lists this ribosomal RNA (422 nucleotides) under uncultured Flavisolibacter sp. Its description in RNAcentral is "bacterial SSU rRNA". It matches the Rfam family "Bacterial small subunit ribosomal RNA", at positions 355 to 774 of the family's 1533-position model. The record is from RNAcentral. Lineage: Bacteria; Pseudomonadati; Bacteroidota; Chitinophagia; Chitinophagales; Chitinophagaceae.